This 253-nucleotide ribosomal RNA is filed under the name uncultured bacterium. RNAcentral describes it as "partial 16S ribosomal RNA". It matches the Rfam family "Bacterial small subunit ribosomal RNA", at positions 524 to 776 of the family's 1533-position model. The record is from RNAcentral.
UACGUAGGCAGCGAGCGUUGUUCGGAGUUACUGGGCGUAAAGGGUGUGUAGGCGGUUGUUUAAGUUUGGUGUGAAAUCUCCCGGCUCAACUGGGAGGGUGCGCCGAAUACUGAAUGACUAGAGUGCGGGAGAGGAAAGUGGGAUUCCUGGUGUAGCGGUGAAAUGCGUAGAGAUCGGCAGGAACACCCAGGGGGAAACCAGCCGACUGGGCAUCUACUGACGCUGAGGUGCGAGAGCGUGGGGAGCGAACCGG